This 465-nucleotide ribosomal RNA is filed under the name Vreelandella stevensii. RNAcentral's name for it is "partial 16S ribosomal RNA". It matches the Rfam family "Bacterial small subunit ribosomal RNA", at positions 338 to 795 of the family's 1533-position model. Lineage: Bacteria; Pseudomonadati; Pseudomonadota; Gammaproteobacteria; Oceanospirillales; Halomonadaceae. The record is from RNAcentral.
CCUACGGGGUGCAGCAGUGGGGAAUAUUGGACAAUGGGCGAAAGCCUGAUCCAGCCAUGCCGCGUGUGUGAAGAAGGCCUUCGGGUUGUAAAGCACUUUCAGUGGGGAAGAAAGCCUUGGGGCUAAUACCCUCGAGGAAGGACAUCACCCACAGAAGAAGCACCGGCUAACUCCGUGCCAGCAGCCGCGGUAAUACGGAGGGUGCGAGCGUUAAUCGGAAUUACUGGGCGUAAAGCGCGCGUAGGCGGUCUGAUAAGCCGGUUGUGAAAGCCCCGGGCUCAACCUGGGAACGGCAUCCGGAACUGUCAGGCUAGAGUGCAGGAGAGGAAGGUAGAAUUCCCGGUGUAGCGGUGAAAUGCGUAGCGAUCGGGAGGAAUACCAGUGGCGAAGGCGGCCUUCUGGACUGACACUGACGCUGAGGUGCGAAAGCGUGGGUAGCAAACAGGAUUAGAUACCCGAGUAGUC